UUGAGUCACAUGCCUGCCACCAUGGCAGAGGAGGCAACAGCUUGUGACCAACAUCUUCACCAGGUUGGAAGGGACAAUUGGUGAGAGAAAAAGAUGGUGAACAGACAACAUAAUGAUCUAUUAUAACAUGAAAUAACAAGCAUGAAGCAUUUUGGAGGAGCCGUCUUAGUGUCCCUGCUUCAUAAUGCUGCAGUGAAGAGAACCAAAUCUCAUCUAGAGGAGUGGAGCCCCUAGGAGGUGGCCAGAGCCACGGGCAGGACUCAGCGCUGGCCCUUGGACUUUGGCCCAUACCUUGAGUAUUUAUUUUCCCUAGUGCUCUUUAGAAAAAUCUGGCAUCACAUUUAUUAUCUAAUAAACGGCAAUUCUGUG
This is a long non-coding RNA of Leopardus geoffroyi (Geoffroy's cat), 369 nucleotides long. RefSeq lists it as uncharacterized. The record is from RefSeq and is a predicted model, not a curated record. Lineage: Eukaryota; Metazoa; Chordata; Mammalia; Carnivora; Felidae. The transcript is spliced from 2 exons.